UUCCGUAGGUGAACCUGCGGAAGGAUCAUUCGCACAUGUCCAAAACAACUCAUGUGAAUUACUCUGUGAGGGUCUGCGUGCGGGAAGUCGAAGGUGAUGACGCACGUGGAUGCUCAAGGGUGGUGGGGGCGCGUCGGACCGUCUUCCGGCGCGUCGCUGCUGCCUUGCCCAAUGUCUCAGCAUUUUCUACAUAUUCACAGUUACGUGGCUUCAGCCAAUGCUCACAUACAACUUUCAGCGAUGGAUGUCUCGGUUCGAUCAACGAUGAAGGGCGCAGCGAAGUGCGAUAAGCAUUGUGAAUUGCAGAAUUCCGUGAACCGACAGGGACUUGAACGCAUAUUGUGCUUUUGGGAUAUCCCUGAAAGCAUGCCUGCUUCAGUGUCUGUGCAUUGUCGUUCCAGUAGCUCUUCCUUUCUGGCACGAGCUGCUGCGAUUCCUUGUGCCUCACGAUGUGCACGGGCUUUCGUGAGGCACGUGAUUGAAACAUGCCUUGCUGCAGCAAUCAGCUUAUUAAGCACAUUGUGUGCAGAUAACUGUUUGCUUUGCGUCACAAGUGCGAAUCUCUUGCUUGCUUGCAAGCUCUCAAGACAUGAAGUUAGGUCAGCAAACCCGCUGAAUUUAAGCAUAUCAAUA
Molecule: ribosomal RNA, 633 nt
Filed under: uncultured eukaryote
Lineage: Eukaryota
Description: eukaryotic LSU rRNA
Rfam family: 5.8S ribosomal RNA (bases 230-384)
Source: RNAcentral